GAUGAACGCUAGCGGGAGGCCUAACACAUGCAAGCCGAGCGGUAUUUGUUCUUCGGAACAGAGAGAGCGGCGCACGGGUGCGGAACACGUGUGCAACCUGCCUUUAUCUGGGGGAUAGCCUUUCGAAAGGAAGAUUAAUACCCCAUAAUAUAUUGAGUGGCAUCACUUGAUAUUGAAAACUCCGGUGGAUAGAGAUGGGCACGCGCAAGAUUAGAUAGUUGGUGAGGUAACGGCUCACCAAGUCAAUGAUCUUUAGGGGGCCUGAGGGGGUGAUCCCCCACACUGGUACUGAGACACGGACCAGACUCCUACGGGAGGCAGCAGUGAGGAAUAUUGGACAAUGGGUUAGCGCCUGAUCCAGCCAUCCCGCGUGAAGGACGACGGCCCUAUGGGUUGUAAACUUCUUUUGUAUAGGGAUAAACCUACUCUCGUGAGAGUAGCUGAAGGUACUAUACGAAUAAGCACCGGCUAACUCCGUG
RNAcentral lists this ribosomal RNA (479 nucleotides) under uncultured bacterium. RNAcentral describes it as "partial 16S ribosomal RNA". It matches the Rfam family "Bacterial small subunit ribosomal RNA", at positions 28 to 507 of the family's 1533-position model. The record is from RNAcentral.